AAUUCAUGUUGAGGACAUUUCCACGGGAGCUCCUUGAACCUAUCCCAUGUCUCAAAAAUAGACUCCAAUUUCGCUUGUACAAAGGAGUAUAUUUCAUUCCUGAGCUU
Molecule: small nucleolar RNA, 107 nt
Organism: Dioscorea cayenensis subsp. rotundata (Guinea yam)
Lineage: Eukaryota; Viridiplantae; Streptophyta; Magnoliopsida; Dioscoreales; Dioscoreaceae
Source: RefSeq, a predicted model, not a curated record